UGUUUAGAGUUAAAGGUUAACAAAUUGAUUGCAAAUUAAUUACUCGUGGGUUCGAUUCCCACCUAAGCAU
Non-coding RNA from Ogataea philodendri, 70 nucleotides. The record is from the annotation of a RefSeq genome assembly. Lineage: Eukaryota; Fungi; Ascomycota; Pichiomycetes; Pichiales; Pichiaceae.